Molecule: ribosomal RNA, 293 nt
Filed under: uncultured bacterium
Lineage: Bacteria
Description: partial 16S ribosomal RNA
Rfam family: Archaeal small subunit ribosomal RNA
Source: RNAcentral
GUGCCAGCCGCCGCGGUAAUACCGGCAGCUCGAGUGAUGUCCAAUGUUAUUGGGCCUAAAGCGUCCGUAGCUGGCCAGCCAAGUCCGUCGGGAAAUCCACCUGCCCAACAGGUGGGCGUCCGGCGGAAACUGUCUGGCUUGGAGCCGGAAGGCUCAGAGGGUACGUCCGGGGUAGGAGUGAAAUCCCGUAAUCCCGGACGGACCACCGAUGGCGAAAGCACUCUGAGAAGACGGAUUCGACAGUGAGGGACGAAAGCUAGGGUCUCGAACCGGAUUAGAAACCCUGGUAGUCC